RNAcentral lists this long non-coding RNA (683 nucleotides) under Bos taurus (domestic cattle). RNAcentral's name for it is "long non-coding RNA NONBTAT007640". Lineage: Eukaryota; Metazoa; Chordata; Mammalia; Artiodactyla; Bovidae. The record is from RNAcentral.
AUACCUGGCUCAAGAGACACUCAUAGAAAUCUUCAGCUGCAGUAAUUUAUGAUUUCUUGCAACAAAUGAUUAAACCAAUUCUCUGAUUAAUCAAAAUUGUACUUUGGAGUUAGCCACAUGAGACCAGAAUUUUAAAUCAAGUUAUGCAGACUGCAGCAAUAUAAAGAACAAGAUUGAAAAAUUAAUUCUAUCAGAAAUAUUUAGUACACAAGCGUUAAUCUUCCUUUAGACUUCUUGAAAGAUCAAAGCCACACUCAAGCAAACUUUAAAAUAUACACUUUGCCAGGCACCAAGGAAAAUGUCAUAUUCUUUUAAGAGGUGCACAGUGUUACCGUGAAUCAUUUCUCCUUGAAGGACUUCCACACUGUUUAUAUCAGUAGCUUGCUUUGAUGGAGGCUCUUCUCUUACCACCUUUUCUAGUUACUAUUUGUGCCCUGUCCCCAGAACUAAAGGGAAACACCUGAAUUCUUUCCAUUUCCUAUUGCUCCUUCCACAAAUAGAAUUCAGUAACACUCCCUCAUUUGAUGUUCAAGUCACUUAACUAGACCACUUUUUUUCCAUCUGCAAGUCAUCCACUGAGUUCCAUCUUCAUUUCUCCACUUUGCUCAAACUUGGCUUAGUUUUCUUUUCUGUUCCAUCCAUGCUGUUGACCUUCAUUCAUUCACUCAUUCCAUGUUUUCUUC